Molecule: non-coding RNA, 2943 nt
Organism: Myodes glareolus (Bank vole)
Lineage: Eukaryota; Metazoa; Chordata; Mammalia; Rodentia; Cricetidae
Source: RefSeq, a predicted model, not a curated record
CAUGUCCUGGAACUAGCUCUUAUAGACCAGGCUGGCCUUGAACUCGCAGAGAGAUCACCCGCCUCUGCCUCGCAAGUCCUGGGAUUAUACCUCUUCUGCAGCACAGAUAUCUCUUUCACGUGCAGAUUUCACUGGACUGUUCUCUAUCCUAAGUGACAGAAAGGUUAAGAAGCAAAUAUGUUAAAUCCAAGUACACAUAAGAAAUUUUAAACUUUUUAUUUUUAACAUUUUAUGGUGAACUAAAGCAAAGUCACAAACAUUAACUGAUCAAUACCAUAAUUCUAGAAUGGAAAUUAACAAUAAACCCACAAUUUGUUAUAUCACAAGCCUGAACAAUAGGCCAAACAGUUUAUGAUUAACAUAAGCCUCUGUGUGUUUAUUUGGGACUGAAAGGCUAUGGAUCAGGUGGGAGAGAAACUUCGGUCUACAUUGAGGACCAUGGAGUUUACUCACUCAUUGUAGUGACACAGGCAUUGCCAGUCCUGGGAUGUUAACUUCCUGUGUCGUGGAGGUCUCUUGAACUUUUGCAUCUGAUGGCAUGGUUUCUCUCUCAAUACACUGCUCUUUUUCUCUGUGGGAAACGUUAUUUUUCUAAAGCCGGACUGUAUUAACCAUGUGAAAUUAGUGUUCUUUCUCUUUAAGCUGCUGUCAAAUUAUGAACAGAAUGGCCCAGUGUUCUUCUUUUAGAACCAAAGAUUUGGGCGCUAUUUGUAUCUCCAGUAUGUGGGUCACUUUGGUAAAGAACAAAAGCAACUGAUUGAUCAGUAUGUGGAGCAAGAUGCAGGGGCCGUGGGGUGACAUCUUUGGAAAUUGUCAGCUUCAGAAUGAAUGCCAGACACCGACCUCCAUGGGUUGUGAGAACAGAUGCGUGCGCACACACAUGCGCAGAUGCACACAAACACACAGGCAUACACAGAUAUGGAAACUAGUGACAUACAUACAGGAGCUGAAAGCCGCGCCAUUGUGGGAACAAUGCUCCUGAAGAUUAUGUCUGUGUUAUCUUAGGAGCUGCAGGAGAUGCACAGCCAGGCCCCUAUAUGGUGAACCAGGAUCUUUCAGGUAGUCCUCUGGCUCUCUUACUAACCAGCUGUGAUUUCCAGUUUUAGUGACAAGUGUCUAGUGCCCAAACUGUGCCGCCUACAUUUACUGACUUCGUAAUUUUGUACUGGCUGCUCAACUUCUCUGUGCUUAGUUUUCCAUGUAUAAAAUAGGACAGCAGUUUUCAUGGUUUUAAUCUAGAAAAGAAUGUGAAAAAGACUUUGAAAAAGAGUACUUUCUUCCUUAAAAAUGUGCUUCCAAUACCUUGGCUCACAAAUGGUGUCAUUUGGUGCUGCUGUCCCCUCUGAGUGUAUAAGGUUUUCUGGCUUUCCUGUCACAUCUGAUUGCUGUAGAUUAAGUGGAGUGGAAAGGCCAAGAAUUCAAUAGCUAUUCAGUCCAUGAAGCUGAAUGUCUAAGCUGGUCUUUAGUAUCUGCUGGAAUCUUGAAGAAGAAGACUCUAAUGCCAGCAAAGGAAUUCCUCAACAUCAGGAUAGAGGAAUUUGUCAAGGAGAGUGAAGGAAACAAUUGAGGGAUCAUUUCAUAAAGUAGUCCUAGGAAUAUUCAUCUCGUCACCAAUAACAGCUUUUGGUCACCUAUGUCAACAGAUAAAACCCCUACAAACAAGCAAGCCUUUUCAUGUUACAGAAUGGAAAGCAGAGAGACCUGUGUCCUUGGGAAUAUAACAGAGUUUCCCUGAACCAUAUCUUUCCUGGAACCUAUACUGUCCCUCGACUUCAGGCACGAGCUACAGAAAGACACUGGUGUUUUGACGGUGCAUGGGAUUUGUCACUGUGAUGUGUGGGCUUCCCUCCAUGACUGAUCUCGGUGGUUGUUGGUCCCUUUCAUCCUGGCUUUGACCACGGACAGCUGUGAGCACAGGCUCCAAGAGGGCAUCUUCCUUCAGACCUCUGUGAUAGACACAAAGAAAACAAUAGCCAAGAAAGCAGACAACUGGUUCCAGCAGUUUCUUUUCCAGCUUCUGGGACAACAGAGCAAGAAAAGGUAGAACCGGAGUAAGAAAAGGAGGCAAGAAAGAAGAGGUGCAUAUACAUGACUGGAACAAGCAUGUCUGAGCGAAAUACCAUCUGUUGCUUCUAUUCUAUGAAUUCAUCAACAUGAAAGCGUGCACGGUAUUGUGGUAUAAAAGACGGUUUCUUUCUGUGAGCUGCACUCGAAGUAGUGUGAGUACGGUGUGGUGGCACACACCGUGAGCCUAGUGCUCAGCAGAUCAAGGCAAGACGACCCCAGGUUCCACAGCAGACUGGGAGAGCCUGCAUAGUGAGACCCUGUCUUAAAAAAUAGCCAAAAGUCACUACGAAUAAAAUUGGAAUUCCAUGUCAGUAUCUUUAAAAACCAUCUUUGGGAAAUGGCAGGCAUGUUGGUGCUUGAGAUACUUUGACAGCAAGAUUUUCAGCUGCAGCAUAAACCCGUUGACUCGGAAAACCCAUCUAUCUCUUAGAAAGUAACUCUGAAUGGUACCCAGGAAAAGGCAUGGUUGUUUAGUCGCCUGCCCUUCCUUUGGUUCUUCCCCCUUCCUUUGGGAAUCUUCAAGAGGAGCUGCUUUCUGAUAGUGUGAUUAAUAAAGCAAACUGGAAAGUCAAAGCAGAUGCCCCGAAGCUCGGAUGAAAAAUACUUAUUGUAAAGUCUGUUUAUAUGCACAGAAAGGGCCAUCAGCCUGCUAUGGCCCCAGAGCAGAGCAGCCUGUGCAAAGAGGAAGAGAAACUUCAUCCACUGCUUUGCUCCCCUUUCCUGGAUACUUCAGAUUUUUCUUAAUUGCACUGUUGGGGACUACGGACCACCAGACCCUGGAAUUUCUUGUAAACAACUUGUUUUCCUCUGCUCUAAGCAGCCUGCAGCUGCUCUGAUCACGAGACCCUGAUGGCAGGGGAGUGGGUUCUGACGGGU